This 253-nucleotide ribosomal RNA is filed under the name uncultured prokaryote. RNAcentral describes it as "partial 16S ribosomal RNA". It matches the Rfam family "Bacterial small subunit ribosomal RNA", at positions 525 to 777 of the family's 1533-position model. The record is from RNAcentral.
ACGAAGGGGGCUAGCGUUGCUCGGAAUUACUGGGCGUACCUCUCCCGUCGGCGGCUUCUUCCGUCGGUGGUGAAAUCCUGGAGCUCAACUCCAGAACUGCCUUCGAUACUGGGAAGCUCGAGUCCGGGAGAGGUGAGUGGAACUGCGAGUGUAGAGGUGAAAUUCGUAGAUAUUCGCAAGAACACCAGUGGCGAAGGCGGCUCACUGGCCCGAUACUGACGCUGAGGCACGAAAGCGUGGGGAGCAUACAGGA